Molecule: small nuclear RNA, 97 nt
Filed under: Prolemur simus (greater bamboo lemur)
Lineage: Eukaryota; Metazoa; Chordata; Mammalia; Primates; Lemuridae
Source: RNAcentral
GUGCUCACUUCAGCAGCACAUAUACUAAAAAUUGGAACUAUACAGAGAAGAUUAGCAAGGCUCUUAUGGGUUUUCAUAAGAAUCUAGAUGAUUGUUU